RNAcentral lists this ribosomal RNA (464 nucleotides) under uncultured bacterium. RNAcentral's name for it is "bacterial SSU rRNA". It matches the Rfam family "Bacterial small subunit ribosomal RNA", at positions 330 to 792 of the family's 1533-position model. The record is from RNAcentral.
UCCAGACUCCUACGGGAGGCAGCAGUGAGGAAUAUUGGUCAAUGGGCGCGAGCCUGAACCAGCCAAGUCGCGUGAGGGAAGACGGCCCUACGGGUUGUAAACCUCUUUUGUCAGGGAGCAAGAACGGAUACGUGUAUCCGAGCGAGAGUACCUGAAGAAAAAGCAUCGGCUAACUCCGUGCCAGCAGCCGCGGUAAUACGGAGGAUGCGAGCGUUAUCCGGAUUUAUUGGGUUUAAAGGGUGCGCGGGCGGACCGGCAAGCCGGCGGUAAAAUCGGGGGGCCCAACCCCGCCCAGCCGUCGGAACUGCCGGGCUAGAGUGGGCGAGAAGUGCGCGGAAUGCGUGGUGUAGCGGUGAAAUGCAUAGAUAUCACGCAGAACUCCGAUUGCGAAGGCAGCGCACCGGCGCCCUACUGACGCUCAGGCACGAAAGCGUGGGUAUCGAACAGGAGUAGAUACCCGAGUA